This 497-nucleotide ribosomal RNA is filed under the name uncultured bacterium. Its description in RNAcentral is "partial 16S ribosomal RNA". It matches the Rfam family "Bacterial small subunit ribosomal RNA", at positions 28 to 507 of the family's 1533-position model. The record is from RNAcentral.
GACGAACGCUGGCGGCGUGCCUAAUACAUGCAAGUUGAGCGCUGAAGGUUGGUCCUUGUCCCUACUGGAUGAGCAGCGAACGGGUGAGUAACGCGUGGGGAAUCUGCCUUUGAGCGGGGGACAACAUUUGGAAACGAAUGCUAAUACCGCAUAAAAACUUUAAACACAAGUUUUAAGUUUGAAAGAUGCAAUUGCAUCACUCAAAGAUGAUCCCGCGUUGUAUUAGCUAGUUGGUGAGGUAAAGGCUCACCAAGGCGAUGAUACAUAGCCGACCUGAGAGGGGGAUAGGCCACAUUGGGACUGAGACACGGCCCAAACGCCUACGGGAGGCAGCAGGAAGGAAUCUUCGGCAAUGGACGAAAGGCUGACCGAGCAACGCCGGGGGAGGGAAGAAGGGUGUCGGAUCGUAAAACUCGGUUGGUAGAGAAGAACGUUGGUGAGAGUGGAAAGCGCAUCAAGUGACGGUAACUACACAGAAAGGGACGGCUAACUACGUG